GCGUGAUCGAGCGAUGCCGCUUGAGGGACGAAGCCCCUCGGGGUGUAAACUUCUGAACUCGGGACGAUGAUGACGGUACCGAGGUAAUAGCACCGGCUAACUCCGUGCCAGCAGCCGCGGUAAUACGGAGGGUGCGAGCGUUACCCGGAUUUACUGGGUGUAAAGGGCGUGUAGGCGGUUUCUCAAGUCCGAUGCUAAAGACCGAAGCUCAACUUCGGGAGUGCGUUGGAUACUGUGAAGCUAGACGGUCGGAGAGGGUAGCGGAAUUUCCGGAGUAGCGGUGAAAUGCGCAGAUACCGGAAGGAACGCCAAUAGCGAAAGCAGCUACCUGGACGAUUUGUGACGCUGAGGCGCGAAAGCGUGGGGAGCAAACCGGAUUAGAUACCCGGGUAGUCCACGCCCUAAACGUUGAGUGCUGGGUGUCCGACAUCUGUUGGGUGCCGUAGCUAACGCGUUAAGCACUCCACCUGGGAAGUACGGUCGCAAGACUGAAACUCAAAGGAAUUGACGG
This 511-nucleotide ribosomal RNA is filed under the name uncultured Thermales bacterium. RNAcentral describes it as "bacterial SSU rRNA". It matches the Rfam family "Bacterial small subunit ribosomal RNA", at positions 381 to 916 of the family's 1533-position model. The record is from RNAcentral. Lineage: Bacteria; Thermotogati; Deinococcota; Deinococci; Thermales.